AUGAUGCGCCGCUGCGAGCUCCCCGCCCGCGACCUCCGCCUCCUCGACCCGCUCUUCGUCUACCCCUCCACCGUCCUCGGCCGGGAGCGCGCCAUCGUCGUCAACCUCGAGCAGAUCCGCUGCGUCAUCACCGCCGACGAGGUGCUCCUCCUUAACUCCCUCGACAGCUACGUCUUCCAGUACGCCGCCGAGCUGCAGCGCCGCCUCCUCCAGCGCGCCGAGGGCGACGAGCUCCCCUUCGAGUUCCGCGCCCUCGAGCUCGCCCUCGAGGCCGCCUGCUCCUUCCUCGACGCCCAGGCAGCAGAAUUGGAAAUUGAAGCAUAUCCCUUACUGGAUGAGCUAACAUCAAAAAUUAGUACUCUAAAUCUGGAACGUGUUCGGCGGCUAAAAAGUAGACUAGUUGCUCUGACCAGAAGAGUCCAGAAGGUCAGGGAUGAAAUAGAACAACUGAUGGAUGAUGAUGGAGAUAUGGCUGAGAUGUAUCUCACCGAGAAAAAGAUGAGGAUGGAAUCAUCAUCUGUGUUUGGUGAUCAGUCGUUGGCGACCUUCAACGCAGCAGCUGCUGGGACUUCAGUUUCAGCUCCCGUGUCUCCAGUCUCGUCACCAACAGAAUCACGGAAAUUGGAGAAAACCUACAGCUUGUGUAGAAGUAGACAUGAUAGUGUAAAGAGCUCAGAUAACACAGUGACUGAACAUAUUGAGGAGCUUGAAAUGUUACUAGAAGCAUAUUUUGUAGUCAUCGACAGCACUCUUAACAAGCUGACCUCGCUGAAGGAGUAUAUUGAUGACACCGAAGAUUUUAUCAACAUUCAGCUGGACAACGUGCGGAAUCAGCUGAUCCAGUUCGAGCUUUUGCUAACAACCGCCACAUUUGUCGUCGCCAUUUUCGGAGUGGUCGCGGGUGUUUUCGGGAUGAACUUCGAGACCGACGUUUUCAACAUCCAGAACGCGUUCCAGUGGGUGCUGAUCAUUACUGGAGUGGUUGGCGCUUUCGUCUUCUGCUUCUUCGUCUGGUUCUUCAAGUACAAGAGACUGAUGCCCCUGUAG
RNAcentral lists this ribosomal RNA (1047 nucleotides) under Triticum aestivum (bread wheat). Its description in RNAcentral is "partial small subunit ribosomal RNA". The record is from RNAcentral. Lineage: Eukaryota; Viridiplantae; Streptophyta; Magnoliopsida; Poales; Poaceae.